RNAcentral lists this long non-coding RNA (742 nucleotides) under Anas platyrhynchos platyrhynchos (common mallard). RNAcentral describes it as "lncRNA (ENSAPLG00000017381.1)". Lineage: Eukaryota; Metazoa; Chordata; Aves; Anseriformes; Anatidae. The record is from RNAcentral.
AUGACAGGACAAAGGAGCAUACAUGGAAAUAAAAUGAAAAUUCAGAACAGAUGUCAGGACACAUUUUUCAUGCUGAAUGUGCAGAGUGGCCAACCAGGUUUCCUUUUCACUCCAUGCAGUAACUCUCCACAAUAUCGACUGAGACCUAUUUGUCCAUGUGUGUUCCUAGCAUGUCAAACACAGCUACCGUUUUCAAGAGGAGCACUAGGAGUGUGCAGGUCUAGCACCUGAACGACGUAUCACGAACCUGCAACUAUCAGUGACACUUAGCACUUGCAAUUGCAGGGAAAUACAUUGUAUUUGUUUAAGGAUCCCUGAGUGGGCCAACUGCAGGUAUGUCCUUGAAUUUUGUAUGUGGAAGGUAAGUAGGAUCAGUGAAAGACUGAUCUGGAAGUGGCUGAGACCGUGGUGAUCACAUGGGCACUGUGCUUUGUGGGCUUUCAAUCUGUACAUCAUCACAUUAUGACAAUGAAUAUCUAUCACAUUUUAAUAAUUUGUCACUUCCUAUCUACAGGGGAAUACUUCCAAAUUAAGCAAUGGACUUAUUUUGAAACUAGGCAUGUAUUAGCUGUCUUUGAAAGAACUGUGCUAAUGGACAGUACCAAUCUCUUGGAAAGGAGCAGAAAUGCAGAGAUAAUCUAGGUUAUUACAUCUUGAUGUUAUUUUAGGACUAUACCACUAUCUAUUUUCAGCAUAUAUAUAUAUUAAUAAAUAAAUAAAUAAAUAAAAACUGUGAUGCUCU